Molecule: ribosomal RNA, 373 nt
Filed under: uncultured organism
Description: partial 16S ribosomal RNA
Rfam family: Bacterial small subunit ribosomal RNA
Source: RNAcentral
GUAGGUGGCAAGCGUUGUCCGGAAUUAUUGGGCGUAAAGCGCGCACAGGCGGUUCUUUAAGUCUGAUGUGAAAGCCCACGGCUCAACCGUGGAGGGUCAUUGGAAACUGGAGAACUUGAGUACAGAAGAGGAAAGCGGAAUUCCACGUGUAGCGGUGAAAUGCGUAGAGAUGUGGAGGAACACCAGUGGCGAAGGCGGCUUUCUGGUCUGUAACUGACGCUGAGGCGCGAAAGCGUGGGGAGCAAACAGGAUUAGAUACCCUGGUAGUCCACGCCGUAAACGAUGAGUGCUAAGUGUUAGGGGGGUUUCCGCCCCCCUUAGUGCUGCAGCUAACGCAUUAAGCACUCCGCCUGGGAGUACGGCCGCAAGGCUG